Molecule: ribosomal RNA, 253 nt
Filed under: uncultured bacterium
Lineage: Bacteria
Description: partial 16S ribosomal RNA
Rfam family: Bacterial small subunit ribosomal RNA
Source: RNAcentral
UACGUAGGGUGCGUGCGUUAAUCGGAAUUACUGGGCGUAAAGCGUGCGCAGGCGGUUUUGUAAGACCGAUGUGAAAUCCCCGGGCUUAACCUGGGAACUGCAUUGGUGACUGCAAGGCUUGAGUACGGCAGAGGGGGAUGGAACUCCGCGUGUAGCAGUGAAAUGCGUAGAUAUGCGGAAGAACACCGAUGGCGAAGGCAGUCCCCUGGGCCUGUACUGACGCUCAUGCACGAAAGCGUGGGGAGCAAACAGG